AAAUUGAAGAGUUUGAUCAUGGCUCAGAUUGAACGCUGGCGGCAGGCCUAACACAUGCAAGUCGAACGGUAACAGGAAGCAGCUUGCUGCUUUGCUGACGAGUGGCGGACGGGUGAGUAAUGUCUGGGAAACUGCCUGAUGGAGGGGGAUAACUACUGGAAACGGUGGCUAAUACCGCAUAACGUCGCAAGACCAAAGAGGGGGACCUUCGGGCCUCUUGCCAUCAGAUGUGCCCAGAUGGGAUUAGCUUGUUGGUGAGGUAAC
Molecule: ribosomal RNA, 264 nt
Filed under: Salmonella enterica subsp. enterica serovar Infantis
Lineage: Bacteria; Pseudomonadati; Pseudomonadota; Gammaproteobacteria; Enterobacterales; Enterobacteriaceae
Also listed under: 10 other names
Description: partial 16S ribosomal RNA
Rfam family: Bacterial small subunit ribosomal RNA
Source: RNAcentral